UUUGUUUACGUUUUUUUCUCAAUGUAAUGCAGGUCUCUUAUAACCCUGUGGUAUUACUACCAUGCGAUGUAACGAACUAGUCGUUUUAUGUGAUUGUGCUUACUACCAUGUGACCCAGCGGGAUUGUAGUGCAACAUGAGUCGUCGAAGCAGUACUUCAUUCUACCAGAGCACUCCAGUGGUGGCGAUCUGCCUUGCAGCUUUACUCCUCAGCAACAUCUUCAUUUACCUGUAUUUGGACUCUUUGUACGAGUCAGAUGUACAACCAGUCAUCGCCCAUAACGGUUGUAUGGCUCAACACUUUAAAAUGCCGACAAUGAAGAACUGCACCCCUUGGCUUCAAUGUCCUCUUCUAGAAGCGGAAGUUCGCAAACUGAAGCUCAUCGGCCAGGGCGCAGUGAAGAAGGUCUACUUGGCAGAAUGGAAAGGACAAAAGGUGGCUGUGUCCAAACUGUCAUUUCUGGAUUACUCUCGUGAUUUUCUCCACGGAUUGUCAAUGUUACAGGCACUGCAGGGUCCCCUGGUGGUACAGUUGGUAGGGUUUUGCCUUGAAGACCAUACGUUGGUCACAGAGUAUCAUCCACUGGGCUCACUUCUCAAUUUGAAUGCAGUUCUGGGACAGGAGCAGCAAAAACAUCGCAACACUUGGCAUACGCGGCUGUUGUUGGCGAUAGACUACGUCUCUAUCCUCAAUUACCUCCACAACAGCCCCGCUGGUCGGAGGGUGAUGUGCGAUUCCAACACGCUGGAGAAAACUCUCUCCCAGUUUCUGCUCACAAAUGACUUUCACAUGGUGGUGAAUGACUUAGAUGCAUUGCCCGAGGUGGACUUAUCCAGGGGCUUGCUUGUGAAAUGCGGCCACCGGGAACUCAGCGGUGACUUUGUGGCGCCGGAGCAGCUGUGGCCAUUCAAUAACAUAGGGAAGCCUUUUUCUGACGAUCUUAUGCAUGAGUAUGAUGAACGGACAGAUAUCUGGAAGAUCCCAGAUGUGGUACGGUUCCUGAUAGGAUCUGUGGCUGGAGGAGAUUUGAUCCACUUCCAUCUUUUUCAAAUUCAUAAGGAGUGUAAGGCAGAAGACCCUAAACUCCGUCCAUCAGCCCUAGACGUGUUGAUGGUUUACAAGGCAGUUUACGGGAACAUGGCCCAAGACAACGCUGGAUUCAGAGAAAUGCUUUGAUGUCUCAUUUUAAAAGGAGGCCUACACGAAUUAACCUAUCAUGCAAUAUAGACUUAACGGUUACACUACUAAGUCCAUUGUACAGGGUCAGGCAAAAUGAUCUGACACAUUUGUAGGUUAAAUAAAAGGAAAAUAGAGCAAAGAAACAAAAAAGUGUUUUUAUUUUUGAAAAGAUCAUUACAGUACUUUAUUUGCCUUUUAUUCAACCCCUUAAACCGAGGGCAACUUUGCCGAAAACGCCUGUGGAAAGGUGCAUCCAAAGUCAAUUUUUAGCUAUUCUUGAACCAUUUGGAGAAUCAGCAUAGUUUUGGUCACUUUUUGAAAUAUUCAAAAUGUGACAUUAUGAAUAUUUCUCCCAUACAGUAAGAAUCUGUGUAAGUGCUCCUGUCACUGAAGUAUGGAUGUUUGAAAACAGAAGAAAAAGGCAAAGCUUAUGUUCAUCUAAUUUUUUUUUCACAAUAUCUGCCUUGAAAAUAAAUUAACUAAACACUACAAGAUCAAAGCUGAAGUCUCCCAAGGUUCGGUUCAAAUUUGACAAUUGUAACAUGUAGGGUACGAUUCAAAUCUCCAGAAACCCAGCUUUUAAAAGAUGUACAACAUGUUCACACAUGACAACGUGCAUCAGCGAUUUGUUUUGACAGAUGAUGGAGGGCCCUUGAUGGGGCCCUCCUAACUUUAAGGGGUUUUAACCCCA
Molecule: RNA transcript, 1870 nt
Organism: Hippocampus zosterae (dwarf seahorse)
Lineage: Eukaryota; Metazoa; Chordata; Actinopteri; Syngnathiformes; Syngnathidae
Gene: pomk
Gene name: protein O-mannose kinase
Exons: 4
Source: RefSeq, a predicted model, not a curated record